UACUCAGUAGCGGCCUAACAGUAUAAAUUUGCAACGAAUACUUUUUCUCAUUCUAUCGAACAAAGAGUAAAACCUAAUUAUCUUGUUCUAUUAUGUCCCGAGAGUGUAAAUUUCGAACGAAUCGAUGUCAACGUUCACAAGAACCAAAACCGGAAUAACAUUAGACUACUCAGUUGCGCCCUAACUGUCCCGCCCCGGGACCGAUGCCAAUUUGGCUCGACCCGAGCACGUCAAAUAGACGCCGAAUGGACAGAGUUUCCCCUAUCCGCCCAAGGCUCAUCACAUGUACAAAUUCAAACAAGAAAUGCACUAGCGAAACAUGCACAAACGGCUUACACGAGGGUAAGCAAUAGCAAUUAGUGAAAGAUAGGAAACUAGCAUUCAUUCUGUACUAUGAUUCAGUUUAGAUCAUAUACAUUACAUCCAACUUGUAAUUUAUCGAUUUCUUACAUUCAUUACAUCAUUUCAUCAUAUCUUUCUUACAUAACAUUUACCUCAAAAUACACAUUACAUUCUUUUCUUUACAGCAUUUAUUAUCAUGUACCAAAAGAUGAUCAUAGGGUACUUUACUACAAAAUGAAACCAAACUUUGGUGGCCUCUGACUAAGGCGCGAUACCUUUACCUCGGUCGCUCGCCGGCAAGCUCGGUCCCGGCUCUGUGGAAAUAGUGGGGUGAGAACUACAACAAAGUUCCCAAUGGGUUCGGCCUCAACAUCACCGACUUUCCCACUAGGACUAACUCAGGCAUAAUAGAAAGAAUAAGCUGCAUAUAGUAACCAAUCUAUACCUAAUGCUAAUAUGCCUGAACAAUAAAGCAAGGAGUAUGCUCAACAUUAAAUAAUGCAGAUUAUGCAAAUUCUUUGUUCUUUUUAUUUUACUCUUUGUUCUUUGUUCUUUGUUUUUUGCACUUUGUUCUUUGCUCUUUGUUCUUUAAUCUUAAGGCUAAUCCGGGGAUAUCGCCACAUUAACUUGCUUCACAUUAAGUCCAUCAUCGCAGGAACUCACUCGCUAGGACCGUCCUUCGGGUUUACUCCAACCCGUGAUACAUAACUCCGGAGCGCAUCGCCCGAGGGGGAGUGACCGCCCUCAAGCACGGAACUCAUAGCAAGUAUGAUCGAAUUCUUAACUUAAAGGAUUAUAUGUUCAAUCUUGACUUUACACUAACUCUAGUGUUCUUUACGUCACUUCAUGUUGCUACUCUAGCAAUCAUUGUUCUUUACAUUUCCCUACUUUUGCUAACUUUAGCAUUCUUGUUCUUUACAUUUCUUAUUCUUAUUGCCCCACUUUACUUUAACUUUACACAUUGUCAUUAUCAUCAUUCUUUACAUCACUUUGGUUCUUUGGCUCACACUAACUCUAGUGUCACUUUACUUUACGUCUUCAAAUGCCACUCGAUAUAUGUCAUAGUGUCACUCUGUUCUUUUGCUCACUUUGGGUGCUCACUUUUCUCUCAUGCAUACACAUAGGGUUUUUACAUUCAUAAGGUUCUCAACCAUCACAUUAGGCAAGUUGUACUCACAAUCAUGCAACAUCACAUUCUCAUCAUCUCUUUACCCUAAAAUGCAUUCAACAAAUAUGUAACAUAUGCUCAAUUGAAUGACACAUUAGGCAUAGAGAGAAGUUCAACGAGUUUGGAAAGCACCACCCACCUCGUAGGCUUUCAAAGGUGCUCCGACGAUUUUCUUGGGAUUUUUAGGCUUCUCGUUCUUUACCUGCGGCAAAACGAAGCCCUAAUAGGUCAUUUGCUCAUAUCUUUUCAUUGGUUCUUCGGAAUGUUAAUCCGAGCGCACCAACGUGUCGGAAAUAUCCCCAAUUAGGUUUCUAGAGGGUCAAUUGCACUUAGAAAUCCCCAUGAGCAAAGGCCCCAAUUUGGUGCCCUAGCUCCAUAGCAUUCAUCAAACCUAGGGUUUGAUCUCAAAGAGAAGCAAAAGUAGCUUCAUUCUACUCUAAAGAGUCCAUCUAAACCAUCUUUAGACAAAUCAAAACCCUACUUAGGGUUUCACCAUGAGAGGUGAUGAAGCUCACCUUCAAGCUUCACCAUUUCUAUGGUCUUGAUCUCAAAAGAAGCAAAAGAAAAGCUUCAAAUACUCAAAUGGUUCCAUAAAACCCAUUUUAAACUUAAUCCAAACCCUAAAUUAGGUUCUACCAUAAUUAGGGUUCAAAGCUUACUUUGUAAGCUCUCAUUUUCCAAGCUAGAGAUGAGGGAGAGGGAGUUUCUUCACUUCUUCUUCUUCUUCUCGACUUUCUUCUUCUUCUUUUUCCUUCCUUUUCCUUCUCUUCUUCUUCUCCUUCUUUGUCUUCUAGACAGAGAAAAAGAGAUGAGAGGGGAUGAGAGGGUGAGAUUGAGAGAAAUCCCUCAUUUACCCCAAUACAUAGCUCAUUGGGUUGCAAAAUUGCAGAUAAACCCCUCAACUUUUACUCUUUCACACAGCCUGGACUGGGCUGUUCGCGCAGGCGGGUACCGGUCUUUCCUUCAGGGACCGGUUCUCGAAGGCUCUCCCCGCGCAGCCAGAGCUGCUGCGCGCAGGACAACCGGUCUCUCUUUGGGGGACCGGUCUCUCGGGGACCGGUCUCUCAGGUAGGGACCGGUUCCCGAGAGCUAGUUUCUCAGGACUUAGCCGAUUUUUCGACUGUCUCAUUUCAUACGCGUUCGGGGACCGGUCUCUCCCACCAGGGACCGGUCCCCCAGAGCUCAAAACUGCAGAAUGCAGAUUUUGAUUCUAUAGCUCUCGAAAACCUCCCGUAACUCACUUUUAAUCAUUUUAACACCAUCGGACUUUUCGAAGUGUACCAUCCUUGCACUUUGGUCAAUUUGACUAAAGUUCGAUAUUUAUUUUCCGAAUUUUCGGUAUAUUACACUAACAGUAUAAAUUUGUAACGAGUUCUUUUUCUCAUUUAAUCAAACAAAGAGUAAAACCUAAUUAUAUUGUUCUAUUAUGCCCCGAGAGUGAAAUGUUGGAACGAAUCGAUGUCAACGUUCACAUGAACCAAAACCGAAACAACAUUAAACUACUCAUUUUCGCCCUAACAGUAUAAAUUUGCAACGAGUACUUUUUUUCAUCCAAUCCAAAAAAGAGUAAAACCUAAUUAUAUUGUUCUAUUACACCCCGAGAGUGUAAUGUUGGAAGGAAUCGAGAUCAACGUUCACAAGAACCAAAAUCGGAACAACAUUAGACUACUCGCGCCCUAACAUUAUAACUUUGCAACGAGUACUUUUUCUCAUUCAAUCAAACAAAGAGUAAAUCCUAAUUACAUUGGUCUAUUAUGCCCCAAGAGUGUAAUGUUGGAAGGAAUCGAUGUCAACGUUCACAAAAACCAAAACCGGAACUGCAUUAGACAACUCACUUGCGCCCUAACAGUAUAAAUUUGCAACGAGUGCUUUUUCUCAUUCUAUCGAACAAAGAGUACAAGCUAAUUAUACUGUUCUAUUAUACCCUGAGAGUGUAAAUUUCGAACGAAUACAUGUCAACGUUAACAAGAACCAAAACCGAAACAACAUUAGACUACACAGUUGCGCCCUAACUGUAUAACUUUACAACGAGUACUUUUUCUCAUUCAAUCAAACAAAGAGUAAAACCUAAUUGUAUUGUUUUAUUAUGCCCCGAGAGUGUAAUAUUGGAACAAAUCGAUGUCAACGUUCACAAGAACCAAAACCGGAACAACAUUAAACUACUCGGUUGCGCCAUAAUAGUAUAAAUUUGCAACGAAUACUUUUUCUUAUUCUAUCGAACAAAGAGUAAAAGCUAAUUAUAUUGUUCUAUUAUGCCCCGAGAGUGUAAAUUUCGAACGAAUCGUUGUCAACGUUCACAAGAACCAAAACUUGAACAAUAUUAGACUACUCAGUUGCGCCCUAACAGCAUAAAUUUGCAACGAGUUUUUUUUCUCAUUCUAUCGAACAAAGAGUAAAAACUAAUUAUAUUGUUUUAUUAUGCCCUGAGAGUGUAAAUUUCAAACGAAUCGAUGUCAACGUUCACAAGAACCAAAACGGAAACAACAUUAGACUACUAAGUUGCGCCAUAACAGUAUAACUUUGCAACAAGUACUUUUUCUAAUUCAAUCGAACAAAGAGUAAAACCUAAUUACCUUGUUCUAUUAUGCCCCGAGACUGUAAAUUUCGAACGAAUCGAUGUCAACGUUCACAAGAACCAAAACCGGAACAACAUUAGACUACUCAGUUGCGCCCUAACAAUAUAACUUUGCAACGAGUACUUUUUCUCAUUCAAACAAACAAAAAGUAAAAACCUAAUUAUAUUGUUCUAUUAUGCCCCGAGAGUGUAAUAGUAGAACGAAACGAUGUCAAAGUUCACAAGAACCAAAAUCGGAACAACAUUAGACUACUCGGUUGCGUCCUAACAGUAUAACUUUGCAACAAGUACUUUUUCUCACUCUUUCGAACAAAGUGUAAAACCUAAUUAUAUUGUUCUAUUAUGCCCCGAGAAUGUAAAUUUCGAAUGAAUCGAUGUCAACGUUAACAAGAACCAAAACCGAAACAACAUUAGAAUACACAGUUGCGCCCUAACUGUAUAACUUUGCAACGAGUACUUUUUCUCAUUCAAUCAAACAAAGAGUAAAACCUAAUUGUAUUAUUCUAUUAUGCCCCGAGAGUGUAAUAUUGGAACGAAUCGAAGUCAACGUUCACAAGAACCAAAACCGGAACAACAUUAAACUACUCGGUUGCGCCCUAACAGUAUAAAUUUGCAACGAGUACUUUUUCUUAUUCUAUCGAACAAAGAGUAAAAGCUAAUUAUAUUGUUCUAUUAUGCCCCGAGAGUGUAAAUUUCGAACGAAUCGUUGUCAAUGUUCACAAGAACCAAAACCGGAACAACAUUAGACUACUCAGUUGCACCCUAACAGUAUAAAUUUGCAACGAGUUCUUUUUAUCAAUCUAUCGAACAAAGAGGAAAAACUAAUUAUAUUGUUCUAUUAUGCCCUGAGAGUGUAAAUUUCAAACGAAUCGAUGUCAACGUUCACAAGAACCAAAACCGAAACAACAUUAGACUACUAAGUUGCGCCUUAACAGUAUAACUUUGCAACGAGUACUUUUUCUCAUUCAAUCGAACAAAGAGUAAAACCUAAUUACCUUGUUCUAUUAUGCCCCGAGACUGUAAAUUUCGAACGAAUCGAUGUCAACGUUCACAUGAACCAAAAUCGGAACAACAUUAGACUACUUAGUCGCGCCCUGACAAUAUAACUUUGCAACGAGUACUUUUUCUCAUUCAAACAAACAAAGAGUAAAAACCUAAUUAUAUUGUUCUAUUUUACCCAGAGAGUGUAAUAGUGGAACGAAACGAUGUCUACGUUCACAAGAACCAAAAUCGGAACAACAUUAGACUACUCAGUAGCGGCCUAACAGUAUAAAUUUGCAACGAAUACUUUUUCUCAUUCUAUCGAAGAAAACGUAAAACCUAAUUAUAUUGUUCUAUUAUGCCCUGAGAGUGUAAUGUUGGAACGAAUCGUUGUCAACGUUCACAAGAAGCAAAAUCGGAACAACAUUAGACUACUUAGUUUCGCCCUAACAGUAUAAAUUUGCAACGAGUUCUUUUUCUCAUUUAAUCAAACAAAGAGUAAAACCUAAUUAUAUUGUUCUAUUAUGCCCUGAGAGUGUAAUGUUGGAACGAAUCGUUGUCAACGUUCACAAGAACCAAAACCGGAACAACAUUAAACUACUCAGUUUCGCCCUAACAAUAUAAAUUUGCAUCGAGUACUUUUUCUCAUUUAAUCAAAAAAAAGUAAAACCUAAUUAUAUUGUUCUAAUAUACCCCGAGAGUGUAAUGUUGGAAGGAAUCGAUGUCAACGUUCACAAGAAUCAAAACCGAAACAACAUUAGACUACUCACUUGCGCCCUAAUAUUAUAACUUUGCAACGAGUACUUUUUCUCAUUCAAUCAAACAAAGAGUAAAUCCUAAUUAUAUUGUUCUAUUAUGCCCCGAGAGUGUAAUGUUGGAAGGAAUCGAUGUCAACGUUCACUAGAACCAAAACCGGAACUGCAUUAGACAACUCACUUGCGCCGUAACAGUAUAAAUUUGCAACGAGUGCUUUUUCUCAUUCUAUCGAACAAAGAGUAAAAGCUAAUUAUAUUUUUCUAUUAUGAUGCCCCGAGAGUGUAAAUUUCGAACGAAUUGAUGUCAACGUUCACAAGAACCAUAACCGAAACAACAUUAGACUACGCAGUUGCGCCCUAACUGUAUAACUAUGCAACGAGUACUUUUUCUCAUUCAAUCAAACAAAGAAUAAAAGCUAAUUAUAUUGUUGUAUUAUGCCCCGAGUGCGUAAAUUUUCGACAAAUCGAUGUCAAUGUUCAUAAGAACCAAAACCGGAACAACAUUAGGCUACUCAGUUGCGCCCUAACAGUAUAAAUUGGCAACGAGGGCUUUUUCUCAUUCUAUCGAACGAAGAGUAAAAAAUGUGUCGGUUCUAUUAUGCCCCGAGAGGGUAAAUUAGAUGUCCACAUUCACAAGAACGAAAACCGGAACAACAUUAAGCUACUCAAUUGCGGCCAAACAGCAUAAAUUUGGAACGAGUAAUUUUUCUCAUUCAAUCGAACAAAGAGUAAUACCUAAUUAAAAUGUUCUAUUAUGCCCCGAGAGGGUAAAUUAGAUAUCCACGUUCACAAGAACGAAAACCGGAACAACAUUAGACUACUCAAUUGCGCCCUAACAGUAUAAAUUUGCAACGUGUACUUUUUCUCAUUCAUUCAAACAAAGAGUAAAACCUAAUUAAAAUGUUCUAUUAUGCCCUGAGAGGGUAAAUUAGAUGUCCACGUUCACAAAACGAGAACCGGAACAACAUUAGGCUACUCAAUUGCGCCCUAACAUUAUAAAUUUGCAACGAGUACUUUUUCUCAUUCAAGCGAAUAAAGAGCAAAACCUAAUUAAAAUAUUCUAUUAUGCCCCGGGGAGGUAAAUUAGAUGUCCACGUUCACAAGAACGAAAACCGGAACAACAUUAAGCUACUCAAUUGCGGCCAAACAGUAUAAAUUUGGAACGAGUACUUUUUCUCAUUCAACCGAAUAAAGAGUAAUACCUAAUUAAAAUGUUAUAUUAUGCCCCGAGAGGGUAAAUUAGAUAUCCACUGUCACGCCCCGAGACCGAUACCAAUUUGGUCCGGCCCGGGCGCGUCGAACAGACGCCGAACGGACAGGACCUACCCCGUCCGCCCAAGGCUAACCAACGGAUCAUGUAUAAGAAUUUACCCAGAAAUCAAUUCAUAAAUACACGA
This 7218-nucleotide long non-coding RNA is filed under the name Ananas comosus (pineapple). RNAcentral describes it as "long non-coding RNA (ACOM_LNC037886)". Lineage: Eukaryota; Viridiplantae; Streptophyta; Magnoliopsida; Poales; Bromeliaceae. The record is from RNAcentral.